RNAcentral lists this ribosomal RNA (274 nucleotides) under uncultured bacterium. RNAcentral's name for it is "partial 16S ribosomal RNA". It matches the Rfam family "Bacterial small subunit ribosomal RNA", at positions 523 to 796 of the family's 1533-position model. The record is from RNAcentral.
AUACAGAGGGUGCAAACGUUGUUCGGAAUUACUGGGCAUAAAGCGCACGUAGGCGGUCAGGUAAGUGUGAAGUGAAAUCCCACGGCUCACCCGUGGAACUGCUUUGCAUACUGCUUGACUAGAGAAAGGUAGGGGAGAGCAGAACUCUUGGAGGAGCGGUGAAAUGCGUAGAUAUCAAGAGGAAUACCAGUGGCGAAGGCGGCUCUCUGGUCCUUUACUGACGCUGAGGUGCGAAAGCUAGGGUAGCGAACGGGAUUAGAAACCCUAGUAGUCC